Non-coding RNA from Phascolarctos cinereus (koala), 714 nucleotides. The record is from RefSeq and is a predicted model, not a curated record. Lineage: Eukaryota; Metazoa; Chordata; Mammalia; Diprotodontia; Phascolarctidae.
UAGUUUUUUGAUAGAUCAUCUCCUUAAGGGAAGGAUUGUUUUAUUCUUUUUAUUUGUAUCCACAAUGCUGAGUACCAUGUCUGACCAUCAGUAGGGUUGUCGAAUGUCCUGUAUGCUGAGGAUUGCCCCUCAUGUCACUGUUUGCUUCCAUCAACUGUGAAAGGACUAUUGGAACUGACUUGUGUAUGAUGCCAUUUUUUUUUACCUCAUCCCCUUCAUUUAUUCCUUGUUCGUUACCAAAAACUUAAGCUGUGACUUCUGGCCUAGAAGAACCUGCUAAAAGCAUUGAUAUCCAGAAUGUCAAAGUACCUGGGGCAACCACUUCUUCAUUACUUUCCAGGUUCCACUCCUGAGCCCCUUUAUCCUAGAAGCUCACUCCACCCCUGGAAUUCUAACAACAGGAGGAUUGGCCACCCCUGUGACUUUUACUUUGAUUUGCUGAUUCCUCUCAGAAUCUCCAUUUUAAGGAAAGUGCCAGGCUCUGCUCCUAAUUUUCAGAACUUUCUCUGCCAUGUUGUCCCCGUAUGGCAUUCCCUUUCUUUUCCUCCCCAACACCCUGUCCUUUUUCAGCUUCUCUGUAUGUGUUGUUUCCCCCAUCAGAAUGUAAGCCCCUUGAGGACAAGGACUGUCCUUCUUUCUGCUGAUAUUUGUAUACCCAACUCUUAGACCUGUGUCUUCCAUGUAGUAAGCCUUAAUAAAUGCUUGUUGAUUCAA